GAUGAACGCUGGCGGCGUGCUUAACACAUGCAAGUCGAACGAUGAAGCCCAGCUUGCUGGGUGGAUUAGUGGCGAACGGGUGAGUAACACGUGAGUAACCUGCCCUUGACUCUGGGAUAAGCCUGGGAAACUGGGUCUAAUACUGGAUAUGACUUCUCAUCGCAUGGUGGGGGGUGGAAAGAUUUAUUGGUCUUGGAUGGACUCGCGACCUAUCAGCUUGUUGGUGAGGUAAUGGCUCACCAAGGCGACGACGGGUAGCCGGCCUGAGAGGGUGACCGGCCACACUGGGACUGAGACACGGCCCAGACUCCUACGGGAGGCAGCAGUGGGGAAUAUUGCACAAUGGGCGCAAGCCUGAUGCAGCGACGCCGCGUGAGGGAUGACGGCCUUCGGGUUGUAAACCUCUUUCAGUAGGGAAGAAGCGAGAGUGACGGUACCUGCAGAAGAAGCGCCGGCUAACUACGUG
RNAcentral lists this ribosomal RNA (466 nucleotides) under uncultured bacterium. Its description in RNAcentral is "partial 16S ribosomal RNA". It matches the Rfam family "Bacterial small subunit ribosomal RNA", at positions 28 to 507 of the family's 1533-position model. The record is from RNAcentral.